AUGAAAUAAAAACUAAAUCAAACCCUGAAAUUCUUGCCAGUGAAUGUUUGACCGAACUGCCAAUUGGCGGGAACGAUGUUCCAAGAGGUGGAAGUGCGCCUGUCACUGCCUGUCACCCUGAAAGACAGCGUCUGUCCCACUAGCCCCGCGUUUGACUGCCAGUUCUGACCCCAGUUCCGGCUCAUGCUCAUCCAUCCGGUCUUAGAUCCUU
Long non-coding RNA from Hibiscus syriacus, 211 nucleotides. RefSeq lists it as uncharacterized. Lineage: Eukaryota; Viridiplantae; Streptophyta; Magnoliopsida; Malvales; Malvaceae. The transcript is spliced from 3 exons. The record is from RefSeq and is a predicted model, not a curated record.